RNAcentral lists this transfer-messenger RNA (386 nucleotides) under Helicobacter pylori. It matches the Rfam family "transfer-messenger RNA". Rfam says of the family: Bacterial tmRNA, also known as 10Sa RNA or SsrA, is named for its dual tRNA and mRNA-like properties. Its role is to liberate the mRNA from a stalled ribosome. Lineage: Bacteria; Pseudomonadati; Campylobacterota; Epsilonproteobacteria; Campylobacterales; Helicobacteraceae. The record is from RNAcentral.
GGGGCUGACUUGGAUUUCGACAGAUUUCUUGUCGCACAGAUAGCAUGCCAAGCGCUACUUGUAAAACAGCAACAAAAAUAACUGUAAACAACACAGAUUACGCUCCAGCUUACGCUAAAGCUGCGUGAGUUAAUCUCCUUUUGGAGCUGGACUGAUUAGAAUUUCUAGCGUUUUAAUCACUCCAUAACCUUAAGCUAGACGCUUUUAAAAGGUGGUUCGCCUUUUAAACUAAGAAACAAGAACUCUUGAAACUACCUCAAGGUUUUAGAAAGUUGGACCAGAGCUAGUUUUAAGGCUAAAAAACUAACCAAUUUUCUAAGCAUUGUAGAAGUUUGUGUUUAGGGCAAGAUUUUUGGACUGGGGUUCGAUUCCCCACAGCUCCACCA